UACGGAGGGGGCUAGCGUUGUUCGGAAUUACUGGGCGUAAAGCGCGCGUAGGCGGCUUUGUAAGUUAGAGGUGAAAGCCCGGAGCUCAACUCCGGAACUGCCUUUAAGACUGCAUCGCUAGAAUUGUGGAGAGGUGAGUGGAAUUCCGAGUGUAGAGGUGAAAUUCGUAGAUAUUCGGAAGAACACCAGUGGCGAAGGCGACUCGCUGGACACAUAUUGACGCUGAGGUGCGAAAGCGUGGGGAGCAAACAGG
Molecule: ribosomal RNA, 253 nt
Filed under: uncultured bacterium
Lineage: Bacteria
Description: partial 16S ribosomal RNA
Rfam family: Bacterial small subunit ribosomal RNA
Source: RNAcentral